This 433-nucleotide ribosomal RNA is filed under the name uncultured bacterium. RNAcentral describes it as "partial 16S ribosomal RNA". It matches the Rfam family "Bacterial small subunit ribosomal RNA", at positions 29 to 507 of the family's 1533-position model. The record is from RNAcentral.
AACGAACGCUGGCGGCAUGCCUAACACAUGCAAGUCGAACGAGACCUUCGGGUCUAGUGGCGCACGGGUGCGUAACGCGUGGGAACCUGCCCGUAGGUUCGGAAUAACUCCCCGAAAGGGGUGCUAAUACCGGAUAAUUUCUUCGGACCAAAGAUUUAUCGCCUUUGGAUGGGCCCGCGUUGGAUUAGCUUGUUGGUAGGGUAAAAGCCUACCAAGGCGACGAUCCAUAGCUGGUCUGAGAGGAUGAUCAGCCACACUGGGACUGAGAAACGGCCCAGACUCCUACGGGAGGCAGCAGUGGGGAAUAUAGGACAAUGGGCGAAAGCCUGAUCCAGCAAUGCCGCGUGAGUGAUGAAGGCCUUAGGGUUGUAAAGCUCUUUUACCCGGGAUGAUAAUGACAGUACCGGGAGAAUAAGCUCCGGCUAACUCCGUG